Long non-coding RNA from Folsomia candida, 1504 nucleotides. RefSeq lists it as uncharacterized. The record is from RefSeq and is a predicted model, not a curated record. Lineage: Eukaryota; Metazoa; Arthropoda; Collembola; Entomobryomorpha; Isotomidae. The transcript has 6 exons.
GAGUUCAGUUAAAUAGGUAGGAUUAGUGGUUGAAACUUCUAAAAACCCUAAUCCCACAACAAUUAGCGUUAUCACAAAUUAAUACGUCAGGAUUAUCUAAUUCAGAUUAAAGCGCAUAACAAAGUAGUUUUUACAGAUGAGCGUGUAGCUCAACUUAAAUUUUGGACAAGUAUAAAAGCAGGGAAUUAAGUGUCCCGUAUAAUAUUCUUAUUCUUGUUGCCUUACCGUCUACACCGAAAAUGAAUAUGUUAUUCAUAGUUUGCAUUUCAGGACUCGUCAUUCAACUCACCCACGGCAAUGCGCUUGGCACGUAACCGUUGGCCGUGCAACCGUUGAAUGAUAUUAACCCGUUCCUUCAUGGUAGGACUCCAGCUGCGGAAGGGGAGUUCCCUUUCAUGGUUUCCUUACAUUAUGCCGGCAGCCAUUUCUGUAGUGGGACCCUAAUUUCUGCUUGGACUGUUCUAACUGCUGCACGAUGUGUAGAAGGGAAAACGGCAAAUUACUUGGCAGUAUUUGCCGGGUCAAAUGAACUCGGCUCUGGCGGCGUUUCGAGACUAUCUUCGGAAUUUGUUAUUCACAACGGAUGGAAUAAUGUCACCAGGGUCAACGACAUUGCACUAAUUAAGUUUUUUUUUACUGAUACAAACUUAUAUAGGAAUUUAAAACUGAGGUGCACUGUGUUAAAGUCCAUCGAGCAAUGACAAACGAUUAGGCACAGGAAUGUCAUAUGAUCAAGUAUAAAAUGAAGCAUCACAUCGCGUCUUAACCUAAUAAAAUAAAUAGGUAGUAUCCUAAGUGAAUGAUGACUCCCUUUUUGCUAAAUGCUUUUUGUUAAAAAAACAUAAAUAAUUUUAUACGAAUCUUCCGUACGAAUGUGCAUUGAAAUGAAUUUUCUGCUUUAUUCUACAGCUCGCGUCGCCAUUUCCAGUACUAUUAAACCCAAGAAUUGGGACUGUUGUGUUAGCCCUGGCAUAUACUGGUGACGGAGUGGAUACUACAGUUUUAGGAUGGGGUUAAGCUUUUAACAUUUCGUACCCCACAAAGUCGAGAGCAUCAACAUCUGUGGGAAUAAUUGGAAUGUGCCGCCGAAGUUUCUAAUCUUGAACCAGGUGAUAUAAUCACAAGUGAUCAAAUUUGUACGCAAUCAUCACCUGGAUAUGGAGCUUGUGAGGAGGAUUAUGGAGGGCCUUUGAUGAGCAGCAUUCCUGGGAUCCAGGUUGGAAUUGUGUCUCACUCGCCGUUAGCAAAAUGUGCCGUCGGUAUGCACAUGCAGAGCUUAAAACUGCUUAAGCGCAUAAAUCUGAGCAAGCGCACCAUUGGUAUUGAACAAACCGAAUCGAAUUGGCAGAGGCACUUGCAUCCGAGGAGGCGAAAACGCCCAGUAAAUUUGGAAAGUGGGGAAUUUGUCAACUAACAAUGGAGGUCUCCCAACGUAUGCUCACAGAUUUGGACCAGACUAGCGUUAAUCAAUCACAAAUAUAAUUAGUAUUAAAUUUGCAAAUGG